Molecule: ribosomal RNA, 440 nt
Filed under: uncultured bacterium
Lineage: Bacteria
Description: bacterial SSU rRNA
Rfam family: Bacterial small subunit ribosomal RNA
Source: RNAcentral
CCUACGGGAGGCUGCAGUGGGGAAUCUUGGACAAUGGGGGCAACCCUGAUCCAGCGACGCCGCGUGGGUGAUGAAGGCCUUCGGGUUGUAAAGCCCUUUCACCGGGGACGAUGAUGACGGUACCCGGAGAAGAAGCACCGGCUAACUCCGUGCCAGCAGCCGCGGUAAGACGGAGGGUGCUAGCGUUGUUCGGAAUCACUGGGCGUAAAGGGCGCGUAGGCGGCCAAGGCAGUCGGUUGGUGAAAGCCCGGGGCUCAACCCCGGAGGUGCGGCCGAUACACUUUGGCUCGAGGCCGGAAGAGGAGGGUGGAAUACCCAGUGUAGAGGUGAAAUUCGUAGAUAUUGGGUGGAACACCGGUGGCGAAAGCGGCUCUCUGGUCCGGACCUGACGCUGAGGCGCGAAAGCGUGGGGAGCAAACAGGAUUAGAUACCCCAGUAGU